GAUGAACGCUGGCGGCGUGCCUAAUACAUGCAAGUCGAGCGAAGCGGGGACGGGUGAGUAACACGUGGAUAGCCUCCUAUAAUAACGGGCUAACUUCGGGAAACCGCAACUACACCGGAUACUUAUAGAUGGCUCCCCGCUGCAUUAGCUAGUUGGUCAGGUAACGGCUUACCAAGGCAACGAUGCAUAGCCGACCGGAGCGGGGGAUCGGCCACACUGGAACUGAGAAACGGUCCAGACUCCUACGGGAGGCAGCAGUAGGGAAGCUUCCGCAAUGGGCGAAAGCCGGACGGAGCAACGCCGCGUGAGUGAUGAAGGUCUUCGGAUCGUAAAACUCUGUUAUUAGGGAAGCGGUACCUAAUCAGAAAGCCACGGCUAACUAUGGGCCAGCAGCCGCGGUAAUUC
Molecule: ribosomal RNA, 405 nt
Filed under: uncultured bacterium
Lineage: Bacteria
Description: partial 16S ribosomal RNA
Rfam family: Bacterial small subunit ribosomal RNA
Source: RNAcentral